GGGGAAUAUUGCGCAAUGGGGGAAACCCUGACGCAGCAAUACCGCGUGAGUGAAGAAGGUUUACGGAUCGUAAAGCUCUGCUAUUGGGGAAGAGUAGAAGACGGUAACCCUUGAAUAAGCCACGGCUAACUCAGUGCCAGCAGCCGCGGUAAUCCGUAGGUGGCAAGCGUUGUCCGGAUUUACUGGGUGUAAAGGGCGUGUAGCCGGGAAGGCAAGUCAGAUGUGAAAUCUGGAGGCUCAACCUCCAAACUGCAUUUGAAACUGCUUUUCUUGAGUGUCGGAGAGGUAAUCGGAAUUCCUUGUGUAGCGGUGAAAUGCGUAGAUAUAAGGAAGAACACCAGUGGCGAAGGCGGAUUACUGGACGAUAACUGACGGUGAGGCGCGAAAGCGUGGGGAGCAAACA
RNAcentral lists this ribosomal RNA (403 nucleotides) under uncultured Oscillibacter sp. Its description in RNAcentral is "bacterial SSU rRNA". It matches the Rfam family "Bacterial small subunit ribosomal RNA", at positions 356 to 774 of the family's 1533-position model. The record is from RNAcentral. Lineage: Bacteria; Bacillati; Bacillota; Clostridia; Eubacteriales; Oscillospiraceae.